UACAAUGCGGGAAACCGUGAUAAGGGAACUCCGAGUGCCCGUAAAAUCGGGCUGUCCAUCUGUUUAAAUAACAGGUGAAGAAAGGGCCGGGCAAGACCGGUGCCAGCCGCCGCGGUAAUACCGGCGGCUCGAGUGGUGGCCACUAUUACUGAGCUUAAAGCGUUCGUAGCUGGUCUGUUAAGUC
This 184-nucleotide ribosomal RNA is filed under the name uncultured archaeon. RNAcentral describes it as "partial 16S ribosomal RNA". It matches the Rfam family "Archaeal small subunit ribosomal RNA", at positions 351 to 539 of the family's 1478-position model. The record is from RNAcentral.